UACGGAAGGGGCUAGCGUUGUUCGGAAUUACUGGGCGUAAAGAGCGCGUAGGCGGCUUACCAAGUUGGGGGUGAAAUCCCGGAGCUCAAAUCCGGAACUGCCUUCAAAACUGGUAGGCUCGAGUCCGGAAGAGGGGCGUGGAAUUCACAGUGUAGAGGUGAAAUUCGUAGAUAUUGGGAUGAACACCGGUGGCGAAGGCGGCGCCCUGGUCCGGUACUGAAGCUGAGUCGCGAAAGCGUGGGGAGCAAACAGC
RNAcentral lists this ribosomal RNA (253 nucleotides) under uncultured bacterium. RNAcentral's name for it is "partial 16S ribosomal RNA". It matches the Rfam family "Bacterial small subunit ribosomal RNA", at positions 524 to 776 of the family's 1533-position model. The record is from RNAcentral.